This 253-nucleotide ribosomal RNA is filed under the name uncultured bacterium. RNAcentral's name for it is "partial 16S ribosomal RNA". It matches the Rfam family "Bacterial small subunit ribosomal RNA", at positions 524 to 776 of the family's 1533-position model. The record is from RNAcentral.
UACGGAGGGAGCUAGCGUUGUUCGGAAUUACUGGGCGUAAAGCGCACGUAGGCGGCUUUGUAAGUUAGAGGUGAAAGCCCGGGGCUCAACUCCGGAACUGCCUUUAAGACUGCAUCGCUUGAAUCCAGGAGAGGUGAGUGGAAUUCCGAGUGUAGAGGUGAAAUUCGUAGAUAUCCGGAAGAACACCAGUGGCGAAGGCGGCUCACUGGACUGGUAUUGACGCUGAGGUGCGAAAGCGUGGGGAGCAAACAGG